ACUGUGCUUGUAUUAUUGAAAAGGACAACAGUAUCAAGCCCCAUAGAGGAACGAUUUUAAUUCUGCCCUGAGCAGCGGGGAUUGAUGCAGCUAUCAAAGAACGGAGCUAUCCAAGCUCGCCAGGAAACGCCGAACAAUAAAGACUUGUGCGGGGCUCCGUUCGUGCGUUCAGAAACAAACGAACGACUGUUCCAGAGUUCAACGCAUUAGUUUUGACUCGGAUUCCGGGCCAACGCAGCUUGGAUCAUCAACUGGUUGUCAUGCAUCGUGAAUACAAAAUCGGCAACACCUUACAAAGGAAAGAGAAGAGGGGCUGAAAUAUUGAAGAAAAUCUAAAAGACCUGGGAUUCUGGAAGAAAACAUCCCCUAGGGUGGAAACUGAAGCUCUCAACACAUUAAUCUGAUUUAAGGACCAGUAAUACCUGGCUUUGGACCAUUGUAACGCCCCUGACUUUGCAACACGAUCUCCGAGAGCCCACAAUGACGGCCAACUCAUGCAACCCCACAAUCUGCCAAUCCCAUUGAGACUUUCUGGAGACUUUAAUGAAUCACCUCUGACCAUUUUUGGGAAGAGACUUUCCUCUUUUAUCCCCUCUUGUGCUUGGUCCUUGUUCAAGCCUCACUCAUCUUAUUCGGCAAUUCUGAGCGGCAUAUACCGCCUCCCGUUGGGAAUUCUUGACCUGACUUCAUCUUCGGAAGGUGGUGGAUGACAAAGACACCGAAAUGGACGACGCACAGAAACAAAACCCUUGUGCAGAUGGUGGAAGGCAAGAUAUCAAUUCUAAAUCUGUGAUAUGGAUGUAGGGUCCGGUAAUUAAUUAUUGACAUUGUGAAGAAAAUGAAGAAUGUAUCAACUGAUUGGCAGUGACAAUGAUGGAGUGGACAAAGACUUUCCAACAAAAGAGGCAUUCUGAUUCCAACGUCAAAAACUAGAAUUAUUCAGGAUGCUUGUCUAGGCCUACAAUAUUUAGAAAAAAUAUGCAGUAAGGCCAAAAAAUAAAAGU
Molecule: long non-coding RNA, 1004 nt
Organism: Patiria miniata (bat star)
Lineage: Eukaryota; Metazoa; Echinodermata; Asteroidea; Valvatida; Asterinidae
Exons: 3
Source: RefSeq, a predicted model, not a curated record